Molecule: long non-coding RNA, 4371 nt
Organism: Bos grunniens (domestic yak)
Lineage: Eukaryota; Metazoa; Chordata; Mammalia; Artiodactyla; Bovidae
Source: Ensembl
AAAAAAAUGUGUUGCACUAUUUUAAUAGUUUAGAAUUAUCUGCAUCAACUAAUUAUAGGUAGGUCACAUUCAUUUAAUUAGGAAUCUUUAAAACUAGGAACAUUUUUCACUUUCCUUUUCAUGAGUUGAAGACUUAGUGAUUUCAAAGGUUUUCCUACCUUAACAUCCAAAGACUCUGCUUCUUUUGCCACACAAGGUGCUGCGAAUCCUGCCCCCCGAAGCCAAAAUGUAUUGUGUUACUAAAAAUUGCUAGAGAGACUCUGGGAGCUUCACAGAAAACCCCCAAAUCUUGUCAAAUUUGCAUUGUCUCUUGUUGAUUAUUUUAUUCUUAUUAAUCCAUCAGGAUAUUUGUCCCCACCUACUCACUAAGACAGAGGACCUCAAUCGUCCUUCAACAACAUCUGGAGCUGGGGCUGGAAGAAAUCCCUUGGGGCCUCCAAGCUUGCUGCCCAGGAAAGAAGAACCACAGUUUCCUCUGUGGCUGGCUGGAUCAGCCAACGCUGUCCCUCACUCUGUCCGUAAUGGUCAGUCAGCCAAGGAAAGAGUCUCUAGUUUGGCCUACUCAUCUGCACCAAAAAAUAUCAAGAAGUUUUAUUCAAGCAGAGCUAACACUAUCAGCAAGUAUCAUUCUAAAGCCAAUAUGGUGCAUGACAAUAGGAAUCACAACAAGCAAUGUCAAAGCAAAGUGAGACACAAGGGGAGAGAGUUGCUUUCAGUAAGUCCUUUAUCCUCCUCACCUGAAAAUACCCAUUUCAGUGUGAAUUUUGGAGUUUCAGAGUUUUAUUUUACUGACAAAUGUGGCUUUUAUGUACUGUAUUCCCUUGUAAAUUCUGCACACUGUUGCAUUUUUCCACAAGUGGGAAAGUCCACUUUGUCACUGGAUAAAGAUAGAUUCACUACUUUAAUAAUCUGCAAAGAGCACAAAAGUAUCAAGAGCAUCCUGUAGUCAUAAGAGGAAGUAGAGAAUAUGAUCUGUUAGUAUGCAUUUUGGGUAAUGACUUGAGAGUAUAUUCUACAUUAAAAUGCACUGUGUUUAAAUUUCAUUUUAUCUACAUUCCACUCUCAAACUUCCACACCAUGUUCUUUGGAAUAUAUUUAAUGUCUAAGAUCUGCAAGUUCUCACCUACACAAACUCUGCAGCCAGCAAGUGGUUUAUUAAACUACAGCUUUAAGGUACCACUCACAAAACAGAAAGGGAAACUGUUUUCUUUAUGUUCUGCAGGGAGCUAAAGACAGAUGGAAGUAGAUAAUUUCCAUGGACACCCUUGCAGUCACCAUGAUUAAUUUUAUUGGCCAGAUUCCUCAGAUUUGAAAGCCUUGAAAGAGGGGUGUUGAAACUGUCAAGGUAACAUCUAAUUAAGAAGGAAAUAGAGCCUUAAGAGAAGUACUGACUCUCCUUUUCAUCAAAGGAUAGUAAGUUAUAGAAAGAAGGCACCAAAUCCUCAGUAGGUAACCCAGCCUUUCUGAUACCUUUGUAACCUCUUCCCAGUGGUCAGCAGUGCACACAGCUACACGUGUACACCCACAUGCACAAACGCAUGCCCCGAGUUAAUUAUUUAAGCCAAUCCUUUUCAACUAGAAUGUUUCAUCUAGCCUUCCUGGUAAUCACUGAUAGAUACCUAGAUAGAUACUUGCAACCUCAGGUAGGUGAAGCUAAAAGAUUUACUUGAUUUUAUCAUUUUAUCCAAGUCCAUAUUUUAAAGUUCACAUUUAAACAAAUACACACGUACAUAUUACACACAUGUAUACAGAGAGGAAAUUCUAACACACAUGUCCCUAGAUAAUAGUCAGAAUAUCUGAACUAUGGCCAGGAGAUUAAGCAUAAAGAUCAGGAUGUUUCAACACUAUUAUAUCUGUUACCACAAAAGUCAGACACAAAUAAUUACAUUUUCUAGAGAGUGAAAAUACAAUGAAUACUUAUGAUUUUUGCUCUUUUUAUUACCCUCAUAAGCACCUAAUAUGAUUUACAAAUAGUCUAUUUAUUAAAACUAUAAAUAUAUCUGUAUUUAUAUAUUACAGAUGAGAAAAAAGUUGUCUCUGUACUGAAGGAGUUGAGUAAACACUGAUUCUUCAUGGAAACUGGUAGUUUAUGUAUUCUUUGAGAAAUUUUUGAAUUAAAAAAUUCAAAUAGUAAGAGAAUUGAAACAUAGUAGUAAUAGUAGUGUUUAGGAUAAAAUUAUCACACCAAUAAACAAUUUUGUAUAUCUUCUCUUUUUAAAAAAAAUAAUUGUGCCUGGGUAUAUUUGUUGUUAAUUUAAAAUGACUCUUAUCUCAGGGACAAAAUUGCAGGAAAAUUUGGCUUUGCCUUAGAGAAAAUAGAACAUACACAUGUAUUGAUGCAAAUAAGAAUAAUACAUGUUUUGUAGAAAAUUAUUUUCCUUCAUGAAGAUUGUUCUUUACUCCUUGGAAAUAAUCCUGUCUUGACUUAGUUUGUAUUUGUUUCAUUAGGUUGUAAUGCAAAAUGUACCAUAAUGUUAUCCCUUUCAGUAUAAUGCAAAGGGGAACAUAAACCUGAAAUUCUUUUGGUAUAAGAAAUGCUUGGAAAUUAAGUCAUGGCUUCUAACCUUCCGAGUCAUGUUCUUUAUUUGACAGACUAUACUGUAUUUGAGCACUAAAUAAUAAUAAAGAAAUCAUCAACUACAUUGUUGAUUAUUACUGUAUUUACAUCAGUUAUACCUGAACAAAAGUCAUAGAUUCAGAGCCUCUCUUCUGUAUUUCAAGCUGCUUUAGAGGCUUUGCUUCUCAUACUUCAGCAGGUAUUUGAUCACCUGGGCUUCAUCCCAGAAUUGUGAUUUUACGUAGGCCUGCAUGUGGCCUAAGAACCUGCACACCUACCUCUCAGGGGAUGGAGUUGUUCCUGGGCCAGGGACCUAACUUUGAGGGCCACCAAUAAAAUGUAACCUCAUUAAAACAGUCAGGUCUUACCUUUUAGGCAGGUGUAUUUGAGUCAUUGUAUUUCUAUAUAUUUCAGUAAUAGCUAUAGCUUGCAAAAUAUAAAAUCUAUUAUAUUCAAUAAAAAGUAAUGAAAUGUGCUUUAUUUCUUUUUCUUCACUGCAAGCACAGUGUAGAUUGGUUAGUUCAACAAUCUAAGAAGCCAGUAGGAAGGGCUUUCAGAGUCAAAACUUGACCUUACAUCCUUUAUUGAAGGAUUACACAUAAAAACCAGCUGUCAAUAAAUAGUUGCCUUGGUUUUGCCAUUCCUACAGUACUUUGGGCUAAAGCAAAACUUUGUAAAUUUAAAGCUCAUGAUUGACAUCUGCUGGCACAUUUGUGAAUUACAAGUAGUUUGCAUGGUUGGUAUAUAUUGUGUUCAGAUUUGGGGGUUUUGUAUCUUCCUUUCCAAAACCCAUUAGGUAAAUUUUAUGUCUGACUUUAUACAUGUAUUUUCCCUAAAAGUAAUGUAUUUCACAAUUUAUUGAACAACUAAAAUAAAACUGUUUAACAAAUUGAACACAUUUAUUUCAAACAGCUAGUCUGUACUGAAACUAUUUUAAUUUUUCCUAUUAACAAAGUGAAAUUAUAAAUUUGUCAUCUCAGUAUACAUAGUUCAUAUCUAGAGUGAAUUUUAUCAAUAGAUUUUUUAUUUUAAGAGGAUAUAUUUAAAUCUUUAAUUGCUUUACCCUGAAUCAAAUGUUUAUGUAAUUAGAUUGCUUACAAUGGCAGUAAAUUGAAGAGGAGCUGAAAUUAAUCAUGCUAACACCUAUAUAUAUAUAUAAUAUAUAUAUAUGUAUUCCUAUCAGUGGAGCCAAGGCAUUUUCCAGUUUUUAGUCAUAAUCUUUUCCAAAUUUUCCUCUUUAGUGCUGGGCUUUGCAUUCAUUGCUAUUCAUUCAAAAAGAUCAUAAGCUUCUGCUCCCAUGUUCAACUUUACAAUCUUAAUGAAACUGAAUCAAGCAUAUUAAACUGAAGUGUCAGUCAAGGACUCAAGAAAGAAUCACUUAGUAUAAACACUUUUUGUGCUUCACUGUCAUCUCCUUUAAUCCGCACAACUUUCUGUACCUUUACAGUAUAAAACUUUGGCUACCUCAUGCAACGAGUUGACUCAUUGGAAAAGACUCUGAUGCUGGGAGGAUUGGGGGCAGGAGGAGAAGGGGACAACAGAGGAUGAGAUGGCUGGAUGGCAUCACCGACUCGAUGGACCUGAGUUUGAGUGAACUCCAGGAGUUGGUGAUGGACAGGGAGGCCUGGUGUGCUGCAAUUCAUGGAAUUCAUGCAAAGAGUCGGACAUGACUGAGUGACUGAACCGAACAGAACAGUACAAAUUAUGAAGCUGAAGUUUACGAAAGCUAGACAAGUUGUCAAAGGUCUCAGAGCGAAGACUGAUAUCUAAAACAGCCCGACUGUGGCAUCUGGCUCCUGCAAGCCAGGCCGUUU